GGUGAGUAACACGUGGAUAACCUACCUAUAAGACUGGGAUAACUUCGGGAAACCGGAGCUAAUACCGGAUAAUAUUUUGAACCGCAUGGUUCAAAAGUGAAAGACGGUCUUGCUGUCACUUAUAGAUGGAUCCGCGCUGCAUUAGCUAGUUGGUAAGGUAACGGCUUACCAAGGCAACGAUGCAUAGCCGACCUGAGAGGGUGAUCGGCCACACUGGAACUGAGACACGGUCCAGACUCCUACGGGAGGCAGCAGUAGGGAAUCUUCCGCAAUGGGCGAAAGCCUGACGGAGCAACGCCGCGUGAGUGAUGAAGGUCUUCGGAUCGUAAAACUCUGUUAUUAGGGAAGAACAUAUGUGUAAGUAACUGUGCACAUUUUGACGGUACCUAAUCAGAAAGCCACGGCUAACUACGUGCCAGCAGCCGCGGUAAUACGUAGGUGGCAAGCGUUAUCCGGAAUUAUUGGGCGUAAAGCGCGCGUAGGCGGUUUUUUAAGUCUGAUGUGAAAGCCCACGGCUCAACCGUGGAGGGUCAUUGGAAACUAAGCC
Molecule: ribosomal RNA, 547 nt
Filed under: Staphylococcus aureus
Lineage: Bacteria; Bacillati; Bacillota; Bacilli; Caryophanales; Staphylococcaceae
Description: bacterial SSU rRNA
Rfam family: Bacterial small subunit ribosomal RNA
Source: RNAcentral